CAUUCUCUGCGUCUCUCUUCGGCGGCAUUGGAGUAACUCGAAACCCGAGACUCAGUCAGAUUUAUCAUCAAAGGUACAUUUCUAACAUUUCAAAUUACUGAAUCAAUCUGAUACAUUACACAAAUGAAUUUGCGUUUUGUGAGAAAUUAUUAUAACAUAUCACAACUUGAGAGUUUUGUGAGGGAUGAGUGUAAAUCUGGAAGGAUACAGAAGCUUGAUGAUGGUUUGAGAUACUUUGAUCAGUUGAUUAGGGAAAAGCCAUUACCGUCUAAUUAUACAUUUAAUCAUGUAUUUGGUUCGUUAUCGAAAAUCAAAUGCUAUUCAGAUGUGAUUCUGUUGUAUAAGAAGAUGAGUUUGGUUGGAGUAAAACCUAGUAUUUAUACAUUUAGCAUUUUGAUUAAUUGCUGUUGUUAAUUAGGAAAAAUUGAUUAUGGGUUUUGUUUGUUUGGGGAGAUGUUGAAGAGAGGUCAUCAUCCUGAUAGGGUUACUUUCACUACAUUGAUUAAAGGGUUGUGUCUACUAGAAAAGAUUGAUUUUGCAUUCAAACUGUUUGGUAAAAUGACUGAGUCAGGGAUUCAACCUGAUGCUAUUGCUUGUAAUACUCUUAUAUCCGGGCUUUGUAGCAUCGUUAAAGUGGAAUUAGCUCUUCAGAUAAGAAACAAGAUGGGGAAUUGGAACUGCAGCCCUACGGUUGUUUCAUAUUCUGCGAUUAUAGAUACGCUUUGCAAAGAAGAAUUAGUUGAUGAUGCUUUGGCUCUCUUCUCUGAUAUGCUCAAAGAUUCGAAUGUUGUACCUCAUGUAGUUGUUUACACUUCUUUGAUCGAUGGGCUUUGCAGUUCAGGCCGGUUGGAUGAGGCAAAGAGAAUCUUUGACGAGAUGGUAAGUAGAGGAAUCUUAGGAAAUGUAACGACAUAUAGUUGCAUUCAUGGGCACUGCAUACAUGGUAAAUGGGAAGAAGCAAGAAGAUUUUUUAAUGAAAUGUUGGAUAAAGGGAUUUUACCCAAUGCUAUAACCUUUACUAUAUGGAUAGAUGCACUUUGUAAAGAUGGGAAGACUGAAGAUGCUGUGGGGUUAUUUAAAUACAUGGAAAAGAUAAAUAUAGAACCUGAUCUGAUUACUUAUAAUUCAAUGAUCAACGGUCCAUGUUUGGCAGGUCGGUUGCAAGAUGCGGUGGAACUAUUUGACUUGAUGGUGGAUAGGGGCCUUGAACCGAAUGUUGUCAGUUGCACUACAUUAAUUGAUGGUAUUGCAGGAAUCGUAAGCUGGAUGAAGCUAUGCAACUAUUCGAGAAAAUGAAACAAAACGGGGUGAAACCCACAUCAGUUACUUACGGUAUACUCUUAGCAGGGUUAUACCGAGAUGGAAGAAUAAAGACCGCAGAAAGUUUCUUAUGUGAGAUGCAGUCUCGUGGUCAUUACCCAAAUAAAAUUACACCCUGUACAGUUAUGGAUGGACUCUGUAAGGAUAGAGAAAUUGAGGAAGCAGUAGAAUUGUUUGGAUCCAUGGAUGGUACAGAUAUCUCAGUAAGUAGAAACUAGCAGCCACCAACCAGCACUGCCUUUCUAAGGGGUUACACUCUGUCGAAGCAGGCACAAAAAGAGUGGACAAAUCUGCUGUAUGGAAGCUCGAUCUGCAAGGUUUGGCAUGUUUCUGGAGCUGUUCACGCCUUAAAGGAGCCCCUAAGGAUGGAGACUCAGAUCCCACUCAUUCUAUGAGUACCAAUAGUUUGGUUGGACCAAAACCUGGAACUUCUAUUGAUUUUAUUAGUGGCUUCAGCGCGGCGAAAAAGACUGGCUGAGCAGGAAAUAACUUUGCAAAGCCCUGAAGUAUGUCAUGUUAUAACGUAUAACAGGGAGGUGGGUGCUGUACAGUUUGCAGGCGCUAUCCGGGCCCGCCUGAGUUUAUUUUGUAAAUUUAACAGCCCCUCAAAGCUGUUAUCGGAUUUAUGCUGUUUUUUAUGCUCAGAAGUUAUCGGAUUUAUGCUGUUUUUUAUGCUCAGAAGUUUCUUUAAACCCCAAGGAAGUUUAGAAGAGAAAAGCUAAAAACUCAAAGGGCAUUCUUUCUAUAAGUUCUCGAUCCCAUUUUCUUUUAAAGAGUAAAAAAAUAUAACUCUUCUAGUGCUUAUUAGUAGCUCUGUUUUAUUAACAUAGGAGAAUUUAUGAUGUGGAUCACCCUCGCCAAUUAUAUGAUGCUCCAGUAUCUAAGAGUAAGAAUACAAGUAAUGGAUUUAUGUAUCUGUGAUCUUCUCUGUCUUGGUUAACUAAUAUGCACCUUAAGUUGUCCCAGAAAUAUAUCUUGUCACCAGUUCUAUUCCUGUAUGUUUUUCCAACUGUUACUUUUAACAUAAGGCUGAUGGAUACGAGAAUGGCCAAAAUAUAUUUGCUUUGUCUCUGUUUCUUUAGAAUUUACCAGGUACAACUUCUUCAUUGUAUUAUUGCUAGUGGUUGUUUGAAACUAUUCUUGAUUCAUGCACUGCCUAUACCGGACUAGGAAAACUUCGUAAUCCACUUCGCUUGUCUUAAUUCAUAGAUACUUCUCAAUGUUCACCACAUGGUUUCGCAAGUCUCACCGAGCCCCAGGAUGUUUUCCUUGAUUCUUCUUCAUCCACAACAGAAGCUCCAGAAUGAUUCUACCCGCUCAUAUUCUGCACUCUAGACUCCUUUCAGUUUCGCCGCUGUUUGCUUCAUCUGUUCAUCCUACUGUGAAGCAAAUGAUCCUGUGACGAUCAGAUAUCAAUCGCCCCAAAGAUUCUCCCGUCGUAAGAAGAGAUCUCCUUCCGAGCUGGUUCGGCACUUCCACCAUGUAAUUGGUCUGCUAUAAGAUGCGUCAGUUCCAAGGUUCAUGAGGUCGAUCUAUUGUGCACUCGGCUUUCACUACAGCUUCCAUUUUCAAGCCACCUUGGGUAACUCAGAGCUCUGAAGCGUUUCUGUCAGCUACUUUUGUCCUCGCAGGCCCUCGUCUUGCAAAUAUAUGGAAUUUGGAGAAUUUAUAGUCUGUAAAUUAGGGUGGUAAUAUUCUACUUCCGUCUUUGUCCAACCUUAAAAUGCUCAGAGAACUUGGUAACCUCAUCGAACUGUCAGUACACUGCAACCGCAUCGAACUUCAGCUACUUGAUGAGAACUGUUUCACUGGCCGCUUACCUUCCACGGUUGGAGAACUUUGAAACCUCAUUGCACUGUCAAUACACGGCAACUCAUUUUCUGGGAAUCUUCAAUAUUUCUUCUCUGAGAAUUUGCCUCCAAGCAUCCAAAAUCUUACAAGGCUUUUAUACCUGGAUGCUAGUCUGAACAAAUUCACUGGAGUAAUUCCUCGAGCUCGGUUGUUUGGUACUACUCAAAAAAUCCGGAUCAUAGAACUUACUGAAAGGACCUAUCACCUGUAAUACCUUUGGAAAUAGGAAGAAUGUCUGUUAUACAACCUCUGAUACUGGGGACCUAUCAUCUCCUUUAUUUCUGUUCUUUUGUUAAGAGCAUAGACUGUGAUUGUCAUUGUAUCACAAACUCUGUCUUCUGUGUAGAAGAAGAAAACGUAAAUUUCGAACAAAAGAA
Long non-coding RNA from Papaver somniferum (opium poppy), 3548 nucleotides. RefSeq lists it as uncharacterized. The record is from RefSeq and is a predicted model, not a curated record. NCBI's taxonomy places the organism in Eukaryota, Viridiplantae, Streptophyta, Magnoliopsida, Ranunculales, Papaveraceae. The transcript has 3 exons.